UGUAAGCGUAUACCAAAGUUGUUGCAGUUAAAACGCUCGUAGUCGGAAUUUGGCAGUUCCGGAUGUGUGCACGUCGUGUGCGCACUUCGCGGGGAUUGCUUUUGUGGUCUUGCGUAGGAUGAGGCACUUUUAUUAGUGAACGUCCUCACGCAACCACUUUUUACUGUGAGAAAAUCAGAGUGCUCAAAGCAGGCAUUUGCCGUGAAUGUAUUAGCAUGGAAUAAUAGAAUAGGACUUGGUUCUAUUUUGUUGGUUUGUUGGGACUGAGUAAUGAUUAAGAGGGACAGUUGGGGGCAUUUGUAUUUCGGUGCUAGAGGUGAAAUUCUUAUAUUACCGAAAGACAAACUGCUGCGAAAGCGUCUGCCAAGGAUGUUUUCAUUGA
Molecule: ribosomal RNA, 382 nt
Filed under: uncultured eukaryote
Lineage: Eukaryota
Description: partial 18S ribosomal RNA
Rfam family: Eukaryotic small subunit ribosomal RNA
Source: RNAcentral